This 219-nucleotide ribosomal RNA is filed under the name uncultured bacterium. Its description in RNAcentral is "partial 16S ribosomal RNA". It matches the Rfam family "Bacterial small subunit ribosomal RNA", at positions 57 to 305 of the family's 1533-position model. The record is from RNAcentral.
GCAAGUCGAACGCUAUCUUUGAUAGAGUGGCGCACGGGUGAGUAACACGUGGGAAUCUGCCCUUUUGUUCGGGACAACAGUUGGAAACGGCUGCUAAUACCGGAUACGCCCUUCGGGGGAAAGGUCCGCCGCAGAAGGAGGAGCCCGCGUCCGAUUAGCUUGUUGGUAGGGUAAUGGCCUACCAAGGCGACGAUCGGUAGGGGGCCUGAGAGGGUGGUC